GGGUUGUGAGGUUAAGCGACUAAGCGUACACGGUGGAUGCCCUGGCAGUCAGAGGCGAUGAAGGGCGUGCUAAUCUGCGAUAAGCGCCGGUAAGGUGAUAUGAACCGCAAUAACCGGCGAUACCCGAAUGGGGAAACCCAGUGUGAUUCGUCACACUAUCAUGCAGUGAAUACAUAGCUGUAUGAGGCGAACCGGGGGAACUGAAACAUCUAAGUACCCCGAGGAAAAGAAAUCAACCGAGAU
This 243-nucleotide ribosomal RNA is filed under the name Pantoea allii. RNAcentral's name for it is "partial 23S ribosomal RNA". It matches the Rfam family "Bacterial large subunit ribosomal RNA", at positions 1 to 235 of the family's 2925-position model. Lineage: Bacteria; Pseudomonadati; Pseudomonadota; Gammaproteobacteria; Enterobacterales; Erwiniaceae. The record is from RNAcentral.